AUUUCGCAUGUAGGGGUAAAAUCCGUAGAGAUGCCAAUGAACACCAGAGGCGAAGGCGCCUUCCUGGACGAGUACUGACGCUGAGGCGCGAAAGCGUGGGGAGCAAACAGGAUUAGAUACCCCGGUAGUCCACGCCGUAAACGAUGAGCACUAGAUAUGGGGAUGUUGACCGUCUCCGUGUCGCAGCUAACGCAUUAAGUGCUCCGCCUGGGGAGUACGGUCGCAAGACUAAAACUCAAAGGAAUUGACGGGGGCCCGCACAAGCGGUGGAUUAUGUGGUUUAAUUCGAAGCAACGCGCAGAACCUUACCUGGGCUUGAAAUCCUACGAACCUGCUUUAAACGGCGGGGUGCUCUUCGGAGAAUGUAGUGACAGGCGCUGCAUGGCUGUCGCCAGCUCGUGUCGUGAGAUGUUGGGUUAAGUCUCGCAACGAGCGCAACCCCUGUCCUUAGUUGCCAGCAUUAAGUUGGGCACUCUAGGGAGACUGCCUGGGCUAACCAGGAGGAAGGUGGGGAUGACGUCAAGUCCUCAUAGCCCUUAUGUCCAGGGCUACACACGUAAUACAAUGGUUGAUACAAAGGGAUGCGACCCGGCGACGGUGAGCAAAUCUCAAAAAGUCAAUCUCAGUCCGGAUUGGGGUCUGAAACUCGACUCCAUGAAGUUGGAAUCGCUAGUAAUCGCGGAUCAGCACGCCGCGGUGAAUACGUUCCCGGGCCUUGUACACACCGCCCGUCACACCAUGGGAGUUGAUCUUACCUGAAGCCGUGGC
RNAcentral lists this ribosomal RNA (768 nucleotides) under uncultured Halobacteriovorax sp. Its description in RNAcentral is "bacterial SSU rRNA". It matches the Rfam family "Bacterial small subunit ribosomal RNA", at positions 666 to 1433 of the family's 1533-position model. The record is from RNAcentral. Lineage: Bacteria; Pseudomonadati; Bdellovibrionota; Bacteriovoracia; Bacteriovoracales; Halobacteriovoraceae.